Long non-coding RNA from Saccostrea cuccullata (small rock oyster), 390 nucleotides. RefSeq lists it as uncharacterized. The record is from RefSeq and is a predicted model, not a curated record. The transcript has 3 exons. Lineage: Eukaryota; Metazoa; Mollusca; Bivalvia; Ostreida; Ostreidae.
GGCCCAAAGUGGUGAGUAACAAAUUUCUUAUUUAAAUGAAGUUUGUCACUUGUUAGGGAAUGAGAGUGAUUCCCCUUUGAUGUGUUUGUUUUCUCUUUUUAAGCAGAAGAAAGUUUAGGCUGACCAGGAUCCUGAAGUGAGGAACAGUCCCUCUCCCAUUUAACAGCAUUCAUGAGCAGAAAGUGCGGUAGUGUAGUGGUUGAAUAAGGAGGUUGCUGACUCUGCAUCGUUGAAGAUGGUGGAAUAAGCAUUUGGAGGAAGCUGGACAUAUUGGAUUGAAACAACAUGCCAACAAUGCUGGAAUGGAGGGGUCUAUGUGGUCCUUCGUGUUUAUGGGUCCCAUCGGUUGUUCGCGUCACGGCCACCUUUGACGGUCAGUCUGGAGUGUUU